RNAcentral lists this ribosomal RNA (402 nucleotides) under Bacteroidota bacterium. RNAcentral describes it as "Bacteroidetes bacterium partial 16S ribosomal RNA". It matches the Rfam family "Bacterial small subunit ribosomal RNA", at positions 355 to 776 of the family's 1533-position model. The record is from RNAcentral. Lineage: Bacteria; Pseudomonadati; Bacteroidota.
UGGGGAAUUUUGCACAAUGGGGGAAACCCUGAUGCAGCGACGCCGCGUGAUUUAGAAGGCCUUCGGGUUGUAAAAAUCUUUUCUAUGGGAAGAAAAUGACAGUACCAUAGGAAUAAGGACCGGCUAAUUACGUGCCAGCAGCCGCGGUAAUACGUAAGGUCCGAGCGUUGUCCGGAAUCAUUGGGCGUAAAGGGUACGUAGGCGGGUAAGCAAGUUAGAAGUGAAAUCCUGUAGCUCAACUACAGUAAGCUUUUAAAACUGCUCAUCUUGAGAUAUGGAAGGGAAAGUGGAAUUCCUAGUGUAGCUGUGAAAUGCGCAGAUAUUAGGAGGAAUACCGGUAGCGAAGGCGACUUUCUGGCCAUAAUCUGACGCUGAGGUACGAAAGCGUGGGUAGCAAACAGG